This 382-nucleotide ribosomal RNA is filed under the name uncultured eukaryote. RNAcentral's name for it is "partial 18S ribosomal RNA". It matches the Rfam family "Eukaryotic small subunit ribosomal RNA", at positions 592 to 976 of the family's 1831-position model. The record is from RNAcentral.
UGUAAGCGUAUACCAAAGUUGUUGCAGUUAAAACGCUCGUAGUCGGAAUUUGGCAGUUCCGGAUGUGUGCACGUCGUGUGCGCACUUCGCGGGGACUGCUUUUGUGGUCUUGCGUAGGAUGAGGCACUUUUAUUAGUGAACGUCCUCACGCAACCACUUUUUACUGUGAGAAAAUCAGAGUGCUCAAAGCAGGCAUUUGCCGUGAAUGUAUUAGCAUGGAAUAAUAGAAUAGGACUUGGUUCUAUUUUGUUGGUUUGUUGGGACUGAGUAAUGAUUAAGAGGGACAGUUGGGGGCAUUUGUAUUUCGGCGCUAGAGGUGAAAUUCUUAGAUUACCGAAAGACAAACUGCUGCGAAAGCGUCUGCCAAGGAUGUUUUCAUUGA